AGCGAACGUUUGCGGCGGGCUUAACACAUGCAAGUCGAACGGGCUGUUCCUUCGGGGGCAGUCAGUGGCGCACGGGUGCGUAACACGUAGGUAAUCAACCCUCUGGUUGGGGAUAACACUUCGAAAGGAGUGCGUAAUACCCGGUAUGGCGCAGCGGUCUUCGGAUCGCGGCGAGAAAGGACCCGCAAGGGUUGCCAGAGGACGAGCCUGCGGCCCAUCAGCUAGUUGGCGAGGUAACGGCUCACCAAGGCGAAGACGGGUAGCUGGUCUGAGAGGAUGAUCAGCCACACUGGAACUGAGACACGGUCCAGACUCCUACGGGAGGCAGCAGU
This 332-nucleotide ribosomal RNA is filed under the name uncultured bacterium. Its description in RNAcentral is "bacterial SSU rRNA". It matches the Rfam family "Bacterial small subunit ribosomal RNA", at positions 29 to 355 of the family's 1533-position model. The record is from RNAcentral.